Oncorhynchus keta (chum salmon) is the source of this 3408-nucleotide long non-coding RNA. RefSeq lists it as uncharacterized. The transcript has 5 exons. NCBI's taxonomy places the organism in Eukaryota, Metazoa, Chordata, Actinopteri, Salmoniformes, Salmonidae. The record is from RefSeq and is a predicted model, not a curated record.
AGAGAAAACCAGAACACAGUGAUUACAGUCAACGUCUGGACGGAUGAGUUGGAUCGGCCCAAAUGGAACCCUGUCCCCUAUACAGGGCACUACUUCUGACAAGGGCCCAUAGGGUUAGAGCCAAUAGGGCUCUGGUCGAUAGUAGUGCCCUGCAAAUGGAAUAGAGUGCUACUUAGGACACAGAUUAGUUGAGCUGCCACCCAGACACCUGCCAGCAUCACUCAUCACAGGGGACGGGCUCAGCACUGAAAAAGGGGGACUCUCUGCAAUAUGGCGUCCUCAGAGGUUACUUACAGAGGAGACGCUUCCUGCUUACAGACAGUGAAGGGAGACAGCAGAAUCAUAAUCUGCCAAUACUCCAGACAGCCACUAGGGGAUCCUCUCGAUGCAGGUAUAGAGGCCCACAGUGGAGGUGUCAUAAUACCCAUAAGACCUAGCGGUCAAACAAGGAAAUGGUUCCAAUCACCGUUCAUUUUCCAAUAAGGGAUUUUAGAAACACUUUAAAUGAGGGCUGUGUUUUGUGUAGGUUUAACCUGUCGUGGUGUUUUGUGUAGGUUUAACCCUGCCGUGGUGUUUUGUGUAGGUUUAACCCUGUCGUGGUGUUUUGAGUAGGUUUAACCUGCCGUGGUGUUUUGUGUAGGUUUAACCUGCCGUGGUGUUUUGUGUAGGUUUAACCCUGCUGUGGUGUUUUGUGUAGGUUUAACCUGCCGUGGUGUUUUGUGUAGGUUUAACCCUGCCGUGGUGUUUUGUGUAGGUUUAACCUGUCGUGGUGUUUUGUGUAGGUUUAACCUGCCGUGGUGUUUUGUGUAGGUUUAACCUGCCCUGGUGUUUUGAUGACCCUGUAAAUCUCUCUAGGACAAGGUGACUUUUAUCAAUAUAUUCAGCUCUAUUUACUCUCAUAUUCUAAAAUGCUAAUUAGCAUCAAAGUAGACACCAUGCCAGACUACAAAUCAUCUCUGAUACCUUUACUACCAGGUAUUGAUCCUGCAGGUCUCUAGCUGAUACCUUUACUACCAGGUAUUGAUCCUACAGGUCAUCUCUGAUACCUUUACUACCAGGUAUUGAUCCUACAGGUCAUCUCUGAUACCUUUACUACCAGGUAUUGAUCCUACAGGUCAUCUCUGAUACCAUUACUACCAGGUAUUGAUCCUACAGGUCAUCUCUGAUACCUUUACUACCAGGUAUUGAUCCUGAAGGUCAUCUCUGAUACCUUUACUACCAGGUAUUGAUCCUACAGGUCAUCUCUGAUACCUUUACUACCAGGUAUUGAUCCUACAGGUCAUCUCUGAUACCUUUACUACCAGGUAUUGAUCCUACAGGUCAUCUCUGAUACCUUUACUACCAGGUAUUGAUCCUACAGGUCAUCUCUGAUACCUUUACUACCAGGUAUUGAUCCUACAGGUCAUCUCUGAUACCUUUACUACCAGGUAUUGAUCCUACAGGUCUCUAGCUGAUACCUUUACUACCAGGUAUUGAUCCUGGAGGUCUCUAGCUGAUACCUUUACUACCAGGUAUUGAUCCUACAGGUCAUCUCUGAUACCUUUACUACCAGGUAUUGAUCCUACAGGUCAUCUCUGAUACCUUUACUACCAGGUAUUGAUCCUACAGGUCAUCUCUGAUACCUUUACUACCAGGUAUUGAUCCUACAGGUCAUCUCUGAUACCUUUACUACCAGGUAUUGAUCCUACAGGUCAUCUCUGAUACCUUUACUACCAGGUAUUGUGUGAUUUGUAGUUCUUUACGGGAGUCACAUUAGAUAGUUAAUCCAGAGAUUUGUAGUUCUUUACGGGAGCCACAUUAGAUAGUUAAUCCAGAGAUUUGUAGUUCUUUACGGGAGUCACAUUAGAUAGUUAAUCCAGAGAUUUGUAGUUCUUUACAGGAGUCACAUUAGAUAGUUAAUCCAGAGAUUUGUAGUUCUUUACGGGAGCCACAUUAGAUAGUUAAUCCAGAGAUUUGUAGUUCUUUACGGGAGCCACAUUAGAUAGUUAAUCCAGAGAUUUGUAGUUCUUUACAGGAGCCACAUUAGAUAGUUAAUCCAGAGAUUUGUAGUUCUUUACGGGAGCCACAUUAGAUAGUUAAUCCAGAGAUUUGUAGUUCUUUACAGGAGCCACAUUAGAUAGUUAAUCCAGAGAUUUGUAGUUCUUUACGGGAGUCACAUUAGAUAGUUAAUCCAGAGAUUUGUAGUUCUUUACAGGAGUCACAUUAGAUAGUUAAUCCAGAGAUUUGUAGUUUUUUACGGGAGCCACAUUAGAUAGUUAAUCCAGAGAUUUGUAGUUCUUUACGGGAGUCACAUUAGAUAGUUAAUCCAGAGAUUUGUAGUUCUUUACAGGAGUCACAUUAGAUAGUUAAUCCAGAGAUUUGUAGUUUUUUACGGGAGCCACAUUAGAUAGUUAAUCCAGAGAUUUGUAGUUCUUUACGGGAGCCACAUUAGAUAGUUAAUCCAGAGAUUUGUAGUUCUUUACGGGAGCCACAUGAGCAGCUAAUUAGCAUUUCAUUGGGGGUAAAUACAGGCGAAUACAUGAAUAAAAGAUCUACACAGUUAUCAAAACGUCACACCAGGGUAAACUGACACGAAACAACAGCCCUUAAUUUAAGUGUUUCUAUAAAAAAUCCCCUUUGGGGAAAAAUGAUUGGAACCAUUUCCUUGUUUGACCGCGGGGUGUUAUGGGUAUCAUGACUCAUACCGUGGUACUCUAUAUGCCUCAACGGAGGGAAGAAACUAGGAAGACACAACAGUGGCCAUCUUGGGAAUAUUGUCGUUCUCGGUAGUCGCUGAGCAGGAAGUCACCCCUCUGUAUCCUGUGACGUCAUAUUGCGGAGCGCGUCCCCAUUUUACCUCUCUAACAGUUAUCGAUGCUGAUCGGUGAUUUAUAACCGGUAAAUGAUCAAUAAUCAUUCAGAACACCUAUUCAUCAGAUUCAUCAAUAUCAAUAUUCAUCACGAUCAUCUACUAAUCACAUGUAUUUGAUGAGGUGGAUUCACUAUUGGUUACAUUUACAACAGCACACCCCAUCUAAUCAACAGAUCAGUUACGUCUGUGGUACAAAAGGCUACGUUUAUACAGGCAGCCCAAGUUUCGAGCUAAAGAGCUGAUCUGAUUGGUGUAAAAAAAAUAGAAAAGAACAAACACGAUCAGAAUGUGACUGUCUGUGUAAACGCAGCCACAGAGACCCAGAGGGAAAGGACUCUACAGACACUAUUAUCUAAUCUAUUAUCUAUUAUCUAAUCUACAAUCUAUUAAGAUCAGAAUGUGACUGUCUGUGUAAACGCAGCCACAGAGACCCAGAGGGAAAGGACUCUACAGACACUAUUAUCUAAUCUAUUAUCUAUUAUCUAAUCUACAAUCUAUUAAGAUCAGAAUGUGACUGUCUGUGUAAACGCAGCCACAGAGACCCAGAGGGAAAGGAC